CAGGGGCGAACCCACGUUGAACCACCCGGUGUCACUGGACACCGGGUAAAUUUGACUCGCCCUUGUAUAUGAUCCGCAUGUUACGGCUAGGACACCGGUAAAUUCAAGACAUGGACACCGGCUGAAUCGUAGGACUGAAAGCGAGCGAGCGACGAAGCACCCACCAGGCGUGGCCUAUUUGGCUAGUGAGGGCCUGGUAGCAGCCCAUUUGGCUAGUGAGGCGUGUGCCAUCCCCCUUGCCGUUAUUAUUGAUCGAUUGGACCGAUCCUCUGUAGGUGCGCCUGUUCGUGUUAGUCUGUUCGUUUGUCUCCUCACGCUAGAAUCCUCCUAACGGUCUCAUCCACAUGCAGGUCGGUGGGUAAUUCAAAGGAAAAUAUACAACAUUUUUUUAACACAGUACAUACACAUGCGUUCACAUAUACAUGCAUACACUCAUCACUAUUAAUAUACAUGCACACCUAUCCAUACGAGCACCUUCGAAAGACUAAGCCGGUAUAUCAUCUUGACAUUGACGAAAUC
This 519-nucleotide ribosomal RNA is filed under the name Triticum aestivum (bread wheat). Its description in RNAcentral is "partial small subunit ribosomal RNA". The record is from RNAcentral. Lineage: Eukaryota; Viridiplantae; Streptophyta; Magnoliopsida; Poales; Poaceae.